AUGGCUCGAUACCGAACCCAGAACAUGUGCCUGAUCAUGGUACACACCAUUGGAUGGUUUUUGCCGCCUAUAUGUUUUUUUGUUGGGAGCUCGAAUCUGAAGCCUCUAUCCUGCAAAGAGGAGCAAGUGAUGUGGAUAUUUUACGAGCAAAAGAUUCAAGAAGUGUGCAGAGCAUUCAUAUUCCCCCACAAAAUUCAGUUGAAUAUGGCAUCCUCUCAACGUAAUGGGAUCCGGACACCAUUUCAGGACCUAACGAACACUAGAAAUUCUGCUUCAGGUUCAGGCGCCGACGACGAAGGGAACAAAACCUAUAUCUAUAUCACGUUGCGUGUCAACUGCCACAAGUGCCGACAUUGCCAACAUUACGGCUACCUGGGAAGCCGGCAGCCGGCAGUAGCACCGGAAGCAGGGACGGGAGCAACAAUGUAG
This 429-nucleotide ribosomal RNA is filed under the name Triticum aestivum (bread wheat). RNAcentral's name for it is "partial small subunit ribosomal RNA". The record is from RNAcentral. Lineage: Eukaryota; Viridiplantae; Streptophyta; Magnoliopsida; Poales; Poaceae.